CACCAGCGCCACAAGUGGCAAUCGACAUUAUUGGGCCUAAAGCGUCCGUAGCCGGUUUUGUAAAUCUUCUGUGAAAUUGUCAGGCUUAACUUGGCAACGUGCAGGAGACACUGCAAAACUUGGGACUGGGAGGCGUCAGAGGUAUGUCUAGGGGAGCGGUAAAAUGUGAUAAUCCUAGACAGACUACCUGUGGCGAAGGCGUCUGACGAGAACAGAUCUGACGGUGAGGGACGAAAGCUAGGGGAGCGAUCCGG
Molecule: ribosomal RNA, 254 nt
Filed under: uncultured bacterium
Lineage: Bacteria
Description: partial 16S ribosomal RNA
Rfam family: Archaeal small subunit ribosomal RNA
Source: RNAcentral